GACGAACGCUGGCGGUGUGCUUAACACAUGCAAGUCGAACGGUAAGGCCCUUUCGGGGGUACACGAGUGGCGAACGGGUGAGUAACACGUGAGUAACCUGCCCUCAUCUCUGGGAUAACAGUCGGAAACGGUUGCUAAUACUGGAUAUGAGCUUGCAAGGCAUCUUGUGGGUUGGAAAGAUUUUUUUUGGUUGGGGAUGGACUCGCGGCCUAUCAGCUUGUUGGUGAGGUAGUGGCUCACCAAGGCUUCGACGGGUAGCCGGCCUGAGAGGGCGACCGGCCACAUUGGGACUGAGAUACGGCCCAAACUCCUACGGGGGGCAGCAGUGGGGAAUAUUGCACAAUGGACGGAAGUCUGAUGCAGCAACGCCGCGUGCGGGAUGACGGCCUUCGGGUUGUAAACCGCUUUCAAUUGUGACGAAGCUUUUUUGUGACGGUAGCAGGAGAAGAAGCACCGGCUAACUACGUG
Molecule: ribosomal RNA, 468 nt
Filed under: uncultured bacterium
Lineage: Bacteria
Description: partial 16S ribosomal RNA
Rfam family: Bacterial small subunit ribosomal RNA
Source: RNAcentral